GCUUACGGCCAUACCACCCUGUCUGCACCCGAUCUCGUCUGAUCUCGGAAGCUAAGCAGGGUCGGGCCUACUUAGUACUUGGAAGGUAGACCGCCUAGGAAUACUAGGUGCUGUAAGCU
Molecule: ribosomal RNA, 119 nt
Organism: Sinocyclocheilus anshuiensis
Lineage: Eukaryota; Metazoa; Chordata; Actinopteri; Cypriniformes; Cyprinidae
Source: Ensembl